AGGCAGGAGAGCAGUGGUGCCACUGUGGUGGGACCUGCUGCAUUUUCCAGAGAACCAGAAGGAAAGGAAAGUUCAAGCAAGCAAGCAAAUUGCCAGUAAUCACAGAGCCAUGCAGGGUCACAUGAUCUCUUAGGAUGGAGAAUAUCCCAGAAAUAUAUCUGCUUGAAACAGCCUGACAUGCAGUGGAAAACCUGGCAAAUGUUUAGCUGCAGUACAUUCUUCCUGCUGGGGCAUUCCCAGAACUUGCACGGUUGUGUGUGCAGGGGAACCUGCAGUUCUAAAGCAACAACCCCACUGUUAACAUCCCACAUGUGGAAAGGAAAACAAAAUGCCGUCCUUCCCUGUGGAUCCAGGCUGGAGAGGCAAAUUGAUGAAGACACAAGACGGCCUUGCAGUCUGAACUUUGGAGUUCAUAAAUCUCUGGCAGGUUAGAUUUGAGAGCAUGACAAAGCAGCCCCUUUCCCUGCCAAAAAAAAAGAAAAAGAAAAGAAAAAGAAAAGAAAAAGAAAAAUUGCAUCAAAAUCCCAAUAAAGAGAGCAAAGGAAUUCAGGACUGAACACUGAAUUGGAAGUAGUAAUGUGUAAUCUCUUGCUUAUAAGGUAUUUUCUCCUGUGUGAGUCAGAUGUGGUACUGUGAAGCUGAAGGGUAAAUUGAAAUUAUCAUAAAGAUUACAUGAAGUGAGCACAUGGAUAAAUGAGGCUGUAGGGAAGAAUCAACACAGCUUUUCUACAAGAAAUCCAAAGGGUUAAUAAAUACAAAGAGGACCUGUCAGGCUGUGGAGCUGGGGGCACCAAAAACGUUUUGAGAAUGGUUUCUGUGUCUGGCAUCCCAGUGUGGCUAAGAUGCUUUGUCUGGAAAAGAGUUAACCAUGGUGAGAGGAGACACAUGUGACAAAGGUCAUGUAAUCGUGGAUGGCUGAAUGGAUGAAGGGGCUGAAUGUUUACCAUGAAUAAUAGUGGGGGAAAAAAGAAGUUUGGGACAUCAAGUGAAACCAGUAGGUAAGAGAUCCACAGCAAAUUAGAGCAGUUCUUUGUUUGCCGUUUUUUAAAGCCUUAGACCCCUGCCGUGGGGUGUUGUGGGUGCUAAAUGUUCACAUCAUUUAAGAAGAGACUGGAUGAGUUUGUGGAGGAAAAGUCUGUGCAGCUAUUAAAUACAACAGACAACCUCUGGCUCAGGAAAUGCCUGAGGCACCAAGUCUUGGAGCCUGGCAGGCUGUGCCGGGAAAAUAUGCUUGCUCUGUUCUUCUGCUUCUCUAGGCGUCGGGUUUUGGCUACAGCCAGCCAGACCGUUCAGCUACAUGGACCUUUUUGUCAGCAGCUGUUUUCGUGUUUCGGUAUCUGUCUGAGCAGAUCCUUGACACAGAACACAUAUUCAUUUGUUGUUUGCAAUGCCCUUAUUUAGAGUUGCUCGAGGUUCUCCAAAUCAAAUAUUUUUUUCACCUUUUCUGAAAUCCUUGUGCUUCAGACUGGAAAACCCAAUCCACUCAGGAGCUAAGAUUCUCAUCUAUUGAUUCUCAUGGAAGUAGGCACUUGAAAUUUUGCUGAGGGCUUGGUACUCUGCAUAUUUAAGCCCUUUUGCUGCAGGCUGCAAUGAGAGCAUGUCUGCAUUUAGGAGAGAGCAGGGGAAGGAAAGCAUUUUGUGCUCUUUCCACCUCCUGCAAUUUGGGAAGCUGGUCACAGACACACGGAUUUUCCAGGUCUCUCUCACCCCUUUCAUCUACAGGGAGAAUUCUGUAAAUCAAGAUACCUCUUGAUUUCUGUAAGAUUGCAUCUUUAUAAUCAAGACCAGAAUUUGCCCAGAGCCUCUGCUCAGUCAAAGAAGUUUAAGCAUCUCAGCAUCUCUGUGUCCCUUCAUUCAUUUUUAGCAAGGUCUGCCAUGUGUCAGACAAAAGCAGCUGUAUCAGGGCAGUUGACCACUCAGUCAGGUCAAACUGGCUGUGAUGUUUGGCAUCAGAAUUAAGUCUCCCUUAGAUGCCUAGAUGGCAGGACACAACUAAUGAAUACACACUUGACAGAAACUGUAUUGUCACCAAGUGCCAGCUCAUAUGUUUCACAAACUCAUCUGGAGGAGGCAGAAAUUAUCUCCAAAUCAGCAACACAGAGACCUUUCUCUGCUCCUUCAAACCCUUUGCCUACUUCUGGCCUUGGGCCCACACAAAUACUCAAACACAGUGAGGAAUAUAAAUUUGCAAGGGUCUCAGCUUUCAUAAUAUGACUAAGUUGUUUUGAUUUAAGUGUGCUCGUCUUGCCAAGAUUGGAAAAAAUUAGUCCGUUCUCCUCAUGGCUGAAUGUCAAGGUACACUCAGGUUUUCAGACAAAUGCCCCAAAUGCGCCCAUGUAAAUGCACAAUUGAACCAAAACCUGAGUGUUGGAGAACUUAACUCUUUCCUUGGUAGUUUUUUUUUAGAGAAACAUGGAGAAAAACAAGAAACUAUGGCAGUAUGAGAGGAUCAAGUCCUUGCUUUGAACAAGGACUGAAGUCACCCAUGGUAUACCAAGAAAAUGAAAAAAGUGCAUACAGAAUUAUUGUAUUGACUUUGGAGUAUUGAGACACUACCUGAAACACUCCUGGGCUUCACUUAAUUUUCUCCACAGAAUUUCCCUACAGGGUGGCAAUACUUCAUGUUUUUAAGAACUUUGCUUUAUUUGCCCAUUUAGUGCAUGAAGAAAAGUUAGAAAAAAUACCAGUAAUAUUUAGCUAUAUUCUGAUUCUUCUCUGGGGUCAUCAAUAGUUACUUCUUGUUGUGUAAUCUCAGCCUGCCUUUCUUUUUUUAAUAAGGAGUUCUGCCAAUAACACCAUUAAGAUUAACGUAAAUGUAGACUCAUAUUGGGGAAACUCAUAUCAGUGCGGAGCAGCUGUUUGCAGGGAGACUUGUUACUGUGAAGUAAUCUAUGCUUUUUUGGAUCUGUGACAUAUUUGCAGGUUUACAUUCAUUCUUUAUUUACAUUAAUGAAGGCCAGAGUUUUGGGAUAAGUGUUACACCAAUGGUAUUGUAUUUGCAGGGACCCUCGUGGCAGGGAGGAAUGAUGAAUCUGACUCCAUGUUCUCAGAAGGCUAAUUUAUUACUUCAUAAUACUAUAUUAUGUUAAAGAAUACUGUACUAUACUAUACUAAAGAAUAGAGAAAGGAUAUUUACUGAAUGCUAAAAAGAUAAUAAUGAAAACUCAUGAGUCUUUCCAGAGUCCCAACACAACUUGGCACUGAUUGGCAAAUGAGCCAAAACAACUCACACCGGAAUCCAAUGAAACAAUCACCUGUGGGUGAACAAUCUCCAAACACAUUCCACAUGAGCAAAACAGAGGAGAAGCAAAUGAAAUAAGAAUUGUUCCCCUUUUCCCUGAGGCUUCUCAGCUUCCCAGGAGAAAAAUCCUGGGUGAAGGGAUUUUUUCAGAGAAUGUGAAUGCCACAGAAACGCUCAAUUUAGUUAACAAAACAGCGGUGCUGGAUGCCAUUAGAGAUGCACAAGGGUAUCUGAGAUAUCCAUGGAGGACUGGUUGGCAUGACAGUCCCUGAGGAAGAUUUGUGCCCAUUUGCAUGGGCAGAGGGAGGCCAGGCAGAUGCCAUCAGGCAUUUCAAAUGCUUUUAGUUGCCCUUCCUUGGGCAAAGAUGCUUCCGAAACUUAUGGGGAAAAUGUUCGUGGCUAAGGCCAGACAGACUGGGCCACAAACACACAAAAAAUGAACCACAAAUGAUUGACUAUGCAAGCAAGCAUAGAAAUGAGUGUCAUGUGAGGAUGUGAUCAUUUUGUAUUGCUGCCUGCCACAAUUUUUGUGCAAAUAUUUAUUCUUGAAGAAAAGACAGUUUGGGCUUCCUUUUCAAAACCAAAAUGUCUCUGAUGUUUAAAAGGAAAAUUAAAAAAGAAAAAAAUUGAGACAUCUUAGCUCUUACUGCCUGGGCUUUGCUGAAGGUCUCUGGGAUUUGAAAGGUGAAGUCACCUCAAGCCAUGCCACUGGUUUCAUCCCCAGCUGAAGGAGCACAGAUGUAGAGUCACAGUCUAGAAAUCACUGUGAACAUACUAAUACUAAAGUAGUUGUCAGGAUAUAACCCUGCUCUUCUUUUGGUUCUGCCCUUUAGCUGCUGAAGAAACAGCCCCUGGUGUGGCCUGAGGGCUGCAGGAGGCCACAGGGAACCAGCCACGCUUGGUGGUUAGAGCCGGGCUCCUCCACAGCCCAGCCCCGUGCAGGGGAUGGUGGGCAGCCCAGUGUGCCUUGCCACGGGUGCUGGAAGCGAUGGGUGUCAGGCAACACCUGCAGGGCUUGUCCCAGAGCCUGCUGUGGGACAGCCCAACCUCAUCCCACAGCUGGAGAUGUCCACAUGUGAACUGCGGGAGGUCUUUGUGUCCCCUCCUUCCUCCCUUUCCUCUUCUGCACAUCCCAGAAUUGGUCUGAGGACCUUCUGCCAGCUGUGUCUUGCUGAGAAAAGCAGCGCCUCUGAGGGCAAGGAAGACUUCUUCCAAAGACUUGCUGUCUGGAGACAGUGGUCCUUGAGCAGAUCCUUGCAGUCUGAACAACUUUGCUACAGAAGGCAUACAGUGGUUUGCUGGAAUUCUUUGGCUUUUCAAGGAAAGGAGUACCUGGGUUUUGUCAGAUUCACUCAAGACAAGGUUUGGGUGAGAAUCUGAGAGGCUCAGUUCCAAAUGGAUGAAGUUUGUUGUUCUGUAACAUAAUUAAACAUUUUUAA
This is a long non-coding RNA of Passer domesticus (house sparrow), 4680 nucleotides long. RefSeq lists it as uncharacterized. The transcript has 3 exons. The record is from RefSeq and is a predicted model, not a curated record. NCBI's taxonomy places the organism in Eukaryota, Metazoa, Chordata, Aves, Passeriformes, Passeridae.